AAAAUGUCUUUUGACAGUUUGUUUACGUUUGUGACAUAAAACUGACAUUUGAAGUAAGAGUAUUUUUCAGGGAGGUUGCGUAAUUUUGAAAACGGGUGUAACGAUAACUUCAAUCAACAAAAGUACUCAAAAUAGAACAAUUUUGGUAUGUUGCUAAUGCUACGUCUUAUUACCAUCUAGUCAUGUCACGGAAAAAAGCUCGAACUGUAUAGCUUAUGAAAUCCAUGUUACAUUAUACAUAAUUGCAUCCACUAAUACUGUUGCAUUAAUAUUUACAGAUAUCAGACGUAUACAAUAAUAUGCCUUCCAUUUGCUUGCGCCUCACAAUAUUGGUGGAUAAAUUAUGUUGAAUAACAUCAUCUUAUGUCAAUGAAUAUUCGAAAAUGAAACAAUUGAUCUUAUGUCAAUGAAUAUUCGAAAAUGAAACAAUUCAAUUCAGCUACCAAUUGCUUGACCAUUAACUGACACGACCACUUCAACGAAAUCGCACGUACAAAGAAAAGUUAACACGUCUACAGUUGUAUCAUCGUUAUGUCAUCGUUAUGUAUUCUGAAAAUUCUACGUGGAAGACAUGAAAAGUAAGAAGUAAGAAAGAUGCACAGUACUUGAAGAUACGACUUGGAUAUUUGUUGUACGUUACAUUGCACCUGGCUCUGACAGCUACUCAACGAAGUCGCACGUACCAGUACGAAGAAAAGGUAACGCGGCAAGGAAGACUUGAUAGUUAAGAAAGAUGCACAGUACUUAAAGCAGUACUUUGCUGUACGGUACAUUGCACCUGUUCGAAUACUCGUAAUCAAGCUAACAACGUGCGUGAGUACAGUACCUGUUAUACGAACAAUGGACUUGAUAUGCAUCAUAAUCAACAUCUUCAAACUUACACUGGGUAGAACAUGUACUAUAAUACGCAAUAAGACGUGUUCUAUUGUCAUAGAAAAGUGACUGGUAUUUUAGUUUUCACUAGCUGAAUGUUCGUUAUUUAUAAUUCACGUUGUCAUUGGCCAUUUUUGGCAAGGUUUGGAAAUUGUGGAAUGGAUUGUAACUAAAAAACUGACUUGUGGACUUAUUUUAUAUAUUGAAAAAUUGACUGUAACCCAUACUCUAAUUUUAAUUUUGUAUACAUACAGUAGCCAUCGUCCAAAAUAAAUCUUAUUUAGUAUUCUACUAUAUUUGUUGAUUGUCAUUUAGAUUAGUUAUAAGCGCGCGCAUCAAGAUUUUAUUGGCAUGCAACAUGUACGCACUGCGUACCUAUUUUUCAUAAUUAUGAGGACAGAGCAGAUGAUGAUGAGAGAUGCAAGUAUAAAACACCAUUCACAAGGCUAGAUGUUAACAUAGCACAGUAUUUCUGGCAAUAAAACGCUCCAACUGACCAACUGAACAUUUCACACGAACUUUUAUCGCUGGAUAAUUUUGCGAGUUUUCAUCCAAUUCAAUCAUAUAUAUGCUC
This is a non-coding RNA of Paramuricea clavata, 1447 nucleotides long. Lineage: Eukaryota; Metazoa; Cnidaria; Anthozoa; Malacalcyonacea; Plexauridae. The record is from the annotation of a GenBank genome assembly.